Molecule: ribosomal RNA, 614 nt
Filed under: Oenococcus oeni
Lineage: Bacteria; Bacillati; Bacillota; Bacilli; Lactobacillales; Lactobacillaceae
Description: bacterial SSU rRNA
Rfam family: Bacterial small subunit ribosomal RNA
Source: RNAcentral
GUUUGAAAGGUCCUUUUGGAUCGCUAGAGGAUGGUCUUGCGGCGUAUUAGCUUGUUGGUAGGGUAGAAGCCUACCAAGGCAAUGAUGCGUAGCCGAGUUGAGAGACUGGCCGGCCACAUUGGGACUGAGACACUGCCCAAACUCCUACGGGAGGCUGCAGUAGGGAAUUUUCCGCAAUGCACGAAAGUGUGACGGAGCGACGCCGCGUGUGUGAUGAAGGCUUUCGGGUCGUAAAGCACUGUUGUAAGGGAAGAAUAACUGAAUUCAGAGAAAGUUUUCAGCUUGACGGUACCUUACCAGAAAGGGAUGGCUAAAUACGUGCCAGCAGCCGCGGUAAUACGUAUGUCCCGAGCGUUAUCCGGAUUUAUUGGGCGUAAAGCGAGCGCAGACGGUUUAUUAAGUCUGAUGUGAAAUCCCGAGGCCCAACCUCGGAACUGCAUUGGAAACUGAUUUACUUGAGUGCGAUAGAGGCAAGUGGAACUCCAUGUGUAGCGGUGAAAUGCGUAGAUAUGUGGAAGAACACCAGUGGCGAAAGCGGCUUGCUAGAUCGUAACUGACGUUGAGGCUCGAAAGUAUGGGUAGCAAACGGGAUUAGAUACCCCGGUAGUCCAUAC